UUUCUACAUCGUAGGAUUUGGAAACAUUGUGAUGUUUUUCUCAUGAAUAUACGUUUAAAAUAAAUAAACACUAAAAGUACACGCUGACAGUUGAUUACGAUACAUCUAACAAUUUGAGUCAUUACAGUUAAACAUGGAUUAUAAGUGAAAUAUACGCGUAAGAGAAGAUUUUCUCUCGAAAAAACGAACUGUCAACACGGCAUGGAACUGGGAUAUUCGUAUCAAAGGGCUCUGAAUGCAGGAAAAUGACUGAAUAUUACUUAGUCAACAACACUGGGUUAUGAAGAAUUCCAGCCUGCAUUAAAUACUAUGUUGGAUCCUUGAGAGCGGAUUUGACAGCCAUGUCCAUCCACAAGGCAGUCGCAUCUGAUCGAGAUGAUCACUAAACAUUCUUGAUGGGUAAAGUACCUGAAGGGGCAUGAAAACCAAAUCAGCAUUGACUCAGCAUUGAGUAGUUAUCAUCUGUGCACACACUUCAAGUACAAAGCAUGGGAACAGACCAAACUUCAAAUGUUGAAGAGUGAAGAAUUAUUGUGAAAAAAACUAAUUGUUAGAAUACCAAUGACAAAAUAAAACAGAUAUACAUCAAAUUACCCACAGAGAUUGUUUACAUGUUAUAAUAUUAAAAAAAAACAUUAGUUGAGAACUUUCACUCUGAUAUUUUUGGAGGGGCGAGCCCACUAAGUGUUCUUGUUUCUUCAUAUAUUUUAGU
Long non-coding RNA from Mya arenaria, 712 nucleotides. RefSeq lists it as uncharacterized. The record is from RefSeq and is a predicted model, not a curated record. The transcript is spliced from 3 exons. NCBI's taxonomy places the organism in Eukaryota, Metazoa, Mollusca, Bivalvia, Myida, Myidae.